Long non-coding RNA from Acyrthosiphon pisum (pea aphid), 1692 nucleotides. RefSeq lists it as uncharacterized. NCBI's taxonomy places the organism in Eukaryota, Metazoa, Arthropoda, Insecta, Hemiptera, Aphididae. The transcript is spliced from 5 exons. The record is from RefSeq and is a predicted model, not a curated record.
AACAAACUAUUGUUUAUAAAUUAAGUUAAGUUGUACUUUUGUAAACGUUUACAGUCAACUUUUGACUUAGAACAAUCUUGUGUUCACUGAAAUUAGCUUAUCUUGAGUUGAUUAUAUUCAUUAACAUGCCCACAAUUGCAAAUCUUAGUGUUAACUCCACCAUUGACGGUCCUCAGUCCGUAUAAAAAGGGAGGAAGGGCGCUUAAGACGUUUUUCUUUUUUAGUUGAAGUAUUAAGAAUUAAUCGUGUUUCUCUUGGUUUUAAAAUAUUAUAUUAUAAUCUAUAUUGUGUUUUUUUAUUUUGUAUGAUAUACCAUACUAUUGUCCAACUGUGAAGAAGUAGGUAGGUAGCCAAUUUUAAUAGUGCAGAUCUUCGAAGACCAGAAUGUGUAGAUGUGAAUUGGAAAGUGGCAACAUAUACCUAAUUCAGACUUCAGAGAUUCAGUUAGACAUGAUUUAUGGAAAUUGGAUUCAUUAAUUUUUGGACAUUCAAAAAUAUACCAUACUACUAUAGUACUAUUGUCUGAUUGUGAAGAAGCAGGUAGCCAAUUUUAAUAGUGCAGAUCUUCGAAGACCAGAAUGUGUAGAUGUGAAUUGGAAAGUGGCAACAUAUACCUAAUUCAGACUUCAGAGAUUUAGUUAGACAUGAUUUAUAGAAAUUGGAUUCAUUAAUUUUUGGACAUUCAAAACUAUACCAUACUACUAAAGUAUUAUUGUCUGAUUGUGAAGAAGCAGGUAGUCAAUUUUUAUAGUGCAGAUCUUCGAAGACCAGGAUGUGUAGAUGUGAAUUGGAAAGUGGCAACAUAUACCUAGUUCAGACUUCAGAGAUUUAGUUAGACAUGAUUUAUGGAAAUUGGAUUCAUUAAUUUUUGGACAUUCUAAACUAUACCAUACUACUAUAGUACUAUUGUCUGAUUGUGAAGAAGCAGGUAGUCAAUUUUAAUAGUGCAGAUCUUCGAAGACCAGGAUGUGUAUAUGUGAAUUGGAAAGUGGCAACAUAUACCUAGUUCAGACUUCAGAAAUUUAGUUAGACAUGAGUUAUGGAAAUUGGAUUCAUUAAUUUUUGGCCAUUCAAAGUAGCUUUAGAAACCCUAAUAAAUGUAUUUUCUAUCUAAUAAUUGUAUUAAAUAUAAUUAAAUAAGAUUUUAUAUUUAACUUAUGAUUAAUACAGCAAAUAACUAAAUUACUAAUUGGUAUAAUUUGAAUAUUACAAUUCAAAAUUGUUCAAAGAGCUUUGCAUGUCAAUUUUUCUAAAACAAAUAAUAUAUUAAUAUUAAUAAUAAUAAUAAACCUUAUAGACCUAACGGAAAAUAUUUCCAAUUUAAUUUUAAAUAUACAGUAUGGUACAGACAUACAGUGUAAAAUUUACAUAAUUAUAAUAUUUAAUAUACAGAUUUACAAUAAAUAGUUUAAAUUUAAAUAUAAUAAUAAUAAUAAUAAUGACACAGUUUAACACUUAAACCAUAAUAGCCUAUAUCAAUGGUGUUCCACAGAUUCUGAAAUUUUUUAAAAUUGUGUUCAUUACUUUUAUAAUGUUUAGUGACUAAUAUGUAUGUAAACUGUUUUGUGCUAAGUAUGCAUUGUUUAAUACAUUAUAAAAUUUAAAAACUUAUAUAAAUGCUGUUUUAUUUUACAGCUGUUAUGCAAAAAUCUUAUAAAAUAUUAAAUGUAAUAUACAUUAUUAUUUAUUAUA